RNAcentral lists this ribosomal RNA (467 nucleotides) under uncultured bacterium. RNAcentral describes it as "partial 16S ribosomal RNA". It matches the Rfam family "Bacterial small subunit ribosomal RNA", at positions 28 to 507 of the family's 1533-position model. The record is from RNAcentral.
GAUGAACGCUGGCGGCGUGCUUAACACAUGCAAGUCGAACGGAAAGGCCCAAGCUUGCUUGGGUACUCGAGUGGCGAACGGGUGAGUAACACGUGGGUGAUCUGCCCUGCACUUCGGGAUAAGCCUGGGAAACUGGGUCUAAUACUGGAUAGGACCACUUCUUGGAUGUUGUGGUGGAAAGUUUUUUCGGUGUGGGAUGAGCUCGCGGCCUAUCAGCUUGUUGGUGGGGUAAUGGCCUACCAAGGCGUCGACGGGUAGCCGGCCUGAGAGGGUGUACGGCCACAUUGGGACUGAGAUACGGCCCAGACUCCUACGGGAGGCAACAGUGGGGAAUAUUGCACAAUGGGCGCAAGCCUGAUGCAGCGACGCCGCGUGGGGGAUGACGGCCUUCGGGUUGUAAACUCCUUUCGCUAGGGACGAAGCGUUUUGUGACGGUACCUGGAGAAGAAGCACCGGCUAACUACGUG